RNAcentral lists this ribosomal RNA (271 nucleotides) under uncultured bacterium. RNAcentral's name for it is "partial 16S ribosomal RNA". It matches the Rfam family "Bacterial small subunit ribosomal RNA", at positions 78 to 354 of the family's 1533-position model. The record is from RNAcentral.
CUUAUGCCGGCGACCGGCGGACGGGUGCGUAACGCGUAUGUAACCUACCUUUGACAGGGGGAUAACAUCGAGAAAUUGGUACUAAUACCCCAUAACAUCACCGGAGGCAUCUUCGGUGGUUGAAAACUCAGGUGGUCAGAGAUGGACAUGCGUUGUAUUAGCUAGUUGGUGAGGUAACGGCUCACCAAGGCGACGAUACAUAGGGGGACUGAGAGGUUAACCCCCCACAUUGGUACUGAGACACGGACCAAACUCCUACGGAAGGCAGCAG